AUACGUAGGGAGCGAGCGUUGUCCGGAAUUACUGGGUGUAAAGGGAGCGUAGGCGGGAUGGCAAGUCAGAUGUGAAAACUAUGGGCUCAACCCAUAGACUGCAUUUGAAACUGUUGUUCUUGAGUGAAGUAGAGGUAAGCGGAAUUCCUGGUGUAGCGGUGAAAUGCGUAGAUAUCAGGAGGAACAUCGGUGGCGAUGGCGGCUUACUGGGCUUUUACUGACGCUGAGGCUCGAAAGCGUGGGGAGCAAACAGGAUUAGAUACCCUGGUAGUCCACGCUGUAAACGAUGAUUACUAGGUGUGGGGGGACUGACCCCUUCCGUGCCGCAGUUAACACAAUAAGUAUUCCGCCUGGGGAGUACGGCCGCAAGGUUGAAACUCAAAUGAAUUGACGGGG
This 396-nucleotide ribosomal RNA is filed under the name uncultured bacterium. Its description in RNAcentral is "partial 16S ribosomal RNA". It matches the Rfam family "Bacterial small subunit ribosomal RNA", at positions 523 to 918 of the family's 1533-position model. The record is from RNAcentral.